GAUGAACGCUGGCGGCGUGCCUAAUACAUGCAAGUCGAGCGAACAGACGAGGAGCUUGCUUCUCUGACGUUAGCGGCGGACGGGUGAGUAACACGUGGAUAACCUACCUAUAAGACUGGGAUAACUUCGGGAAACCGGAGCUAAUACCGGAUAAUAUAUUGAACCGCAUGGUUCAAUAGUGAAAGACGGUUUUGCUGUCACUUAUAGAUGGAUCCGCGCCGCAUUAGCUAGUUGGUAAGGUAACGGCUUACCAAAGCAACGAUGCGUAGCCGACCUGAGAGGGUGAUCGGCCACACUGGAACUGAGACACGGUCCAGACUCCUACGGGAGGCAGCAGUAGGGAAUCUUCCGCAAUGGGCGAAAGCCUGACGGAGCAACGCCGCGUGAGUGAUGAAGGUCUUCGGAUCGUAAAACUCUGUUAUUAGGGAAGAACAAAUGUGUAAGUAACUAUGCACGUCUUGACGGUACCUAAUCAGAAAGCCACGGCUAACUACGUG
RNAcentral lists this ribosomal RNA (497 nucleotides) under uncultured bacterium. RNAcentral describes it as "partial 16S ribosomal RNA". It matches the Rfam family "Bacterial small subunit ribosomal RNA", at positions 28 to 507 of the family's 1533-position model. The record is from RNAcentral.